Molecule: non-coding RNA, 2540 nt
Organism: Pimephales promelas (fathead minnow)
Lineage: Eukaryota; Metazoa; Chordata; Actinopteri; Cypriniformes; Leuciscidae
Source: RefSeq, a predicted model, not a curated record
GUGACGCAACGCGCUCAGCUGUGCGGUAAACAGCGGCGGCGAGCGGCUGCGGACUGAUGUCGACCCCGUCGCGGGGACUGACGGACAGCUUCAGGAGGAGACAUGCCCGCUGCUGCUGCUCCUCACCCGCUCUCUGACACCCUCAUCUUCUUCACCUCCACCCUGCGGCACCGAUGAAGCCUCCCCUGUCGAACCCACAGCGGGCCGAAGGGCGGAUAGAGGAGAGAGAGGAUGUACUGGCGCGUCGGGUUCGCCUGGAGCCGCUCAUGCGCGCUUGAACUGGGCCGGAACAAGAGCUUCUCGCUCGGGUUGUGCGGCUCCGAGGAGCCCUUUUCGUUGUAUGGGUACAUCAUCGCCUACCCGCUGCAGGAGUACGGAGGGAUCAUGUCUGCGUUAGGAUCCGACUCCUGGUGGAGGAAAACGCUCUACAUCACCGGGGGCGCGCUGCUCGCCGCCGCUGCAUAUUUACUACACGAGCUGCUUGUCAUUAGGAAGGACCAGGAGUUGGACUCUGAGGACUCCAUCAUUCUGCAUCAGUUUGCCCGACCCAAAACUGGAGUCCCUAGCCUGUCCCCCUUCUGCCUGAAGAUAGAAACCUACCUGCGCAUGGCGGACCUUCCCUACCAGAACUAUUUCGAUGGGAAGUUGUCUCCUCAAGGGAAGAUGCCUUGGAUCGCGUAUAAUAAGGAGCAGGUGUGCGGGACGGAGUUCAUCAUCGACUUCCUGGAGGAGAAGCUUGGUGUGAACCUCAACUCCAGCCUGAGUCCUCAGGAGAAAGCCAUCUCACGUGCCAUCACCAAAAUGGUGGAGGAACACUUUUACUGGACGAUAGCAUACUGUCAAUGGGUGGACAAUGUGGAGGAGACGCAGAAGAUGUUAGCCACAAACGGGCCGCUGAGUGACAUGCUCAGGUGGAUCUUGAGUCAGGUGAACGGUGGCAUCGUGAAGAGAGAGAUGUACGGCCACGGGAUCGGACGCUUCUCCAAAGAGGAAGUUUACACUUUGAUGGAGACAGACAUGCGCACCCUUGCCACACUCCUUGGCAAUAAAAAGUAUCUAAUGGGCCCGAAGGUUUCCACAGUAGAUGCUGCUGUAUUUGGCCAUCUUGCUCAGGCCAUGUGGACUCUCCCUGGAACACGUCCGGAACAGUUAAUCAAAGGUGAGUUCAUCAAUCUGGCCAUGUACUGUGAGCGAAUCCGCCGGAAAUUCUGGCCGGAGUGGUUUGUGGAUGUUGAUGACCUUUACUACGACGGACUGAGCGAGGAGCCGGAUUCUCCUUCCCAGCUUCCGGAUUUGGGUCUCCACUCACGCAGCGACAGCUUCCAGGAGCACGACAGCACUCUGUCACACCACAACACGCCGUCGCCGGACAGUGACAUCACCGGACGCUCUCUGUUCGAUUCUGACAUGGACACAGAAUGCUCGGAAACGGAGCAGUUAAAGUGAUAACCACACUCCCUCUGUGAUGUAUCUGCACGGGCCCCGCCCCCUUUGUUCUCCUGCUAGCCCUUUAUCAGGGGAAGGGCUGAUCAAAUGAAGAUGUUAUCAUGGUGACAUGGCAACUCUGAGCGAGGGAUUGCAAUAAAGAAGAUGGGAAAAGAAUUCCUACAAUUUUUAUUUGACGAAAGAGGAUUCUAUUAAAAUGAGGAAAGGGCAGGCCAGGCCAGAGAGAAUCCAGGAAGAAAAAACAUCAAACUAAAUAAUAAGUGGAUUGAGUGAAAGUUUAAAGGAGUGAAUGAUGCUUCAGCGGAAUCACUCCUCCCACCGUGUGACAUUGCUCGGAAUCAUCAGAAUGACAUCAUCACAUGUGACCACUUCCCAUUUACAAUGUGUGUUUGUAGCUAUCAGAGAGAAAUAAGGAUGAUUGAAAUGUGUAGAUAAUUAUUACGUGAUAUGAUAAAUAUAUCACAAUAUUUCAUAGUCCAUCUAAAAUUAAUUUCCAGUUUUAUUCAGAAAAUGCAGAGGGAGUAAACUUAUGGAUGACACCAGAAAUCAGCUGAUGUUUUGUAUGUUCUCGAACCGUUGCAGCAAUCUUGCAAAGCAUUAGUGAAUAAUUCACCCAAAAAAGGAGAAUUAUGAAAUUUAGAUAUUCAAAAUGGAAACAUAUAGUGAGCAGGGUCAGUAAAAAAAAAAGGUUUAGUGUAGCUUUAUGUGAGGGACAGAUUAGAUAUUCCCCUUCAUUUGUUAGUGCAUAUUUAAAGUCAUCAUGAAAUCAAAUUUGACAAUUCUCUUUUCUUUUUUUCUGGAAUAUUUCAGUAUAUUGCUGAAUAGUUCACAUCAUUACUUUUUUUUUUCCAAUUCAUGUUCCCUUGUAAUCUUUUUUAUCAAAAUCACUUAUAUUUUAUUUUCUAUAUUUUCUUCAGAUAUAGCCUACUUCAAAAACAGAUGGGGGAAUCUAAUGGGGCAAUAUAGGGAAAAAGGGAAACGAAAGGGAAAACAGACGAUCACAACUUCUCAAUUGGAUUUAUGCACAGCUGCACUACUUCCUGAACUUCAGCCAGCUCCUUUGUUUCCUGUCUGCCAUUAUUGGACACACUGAU